UUUAAAGUCUGGCCUGCUCAAUGAGUGUUUAAAUAGCCGCAGUAUUUUGACUGUGCAAAGGUAGCAUAAUCAUUAGUUUCUUAAUUAGAAGCUGGAAUGAAGGGUUUGAUGAAAAAUUAACUGUCUUUUAUUUAUUAUUUUAGAAUUUUAUUUUUAAGUUAAAAAGCUUAAAUUUUAAACAUAGACGAGAAGACCCUAUAGAGUUUUAUUGAUUAAUCAUUUUUAUUUGAUGUUUGAUUUUCUUGGUUGUUCAAUUUUGUUGGGGUGAUGGGUAAAUUUUUUAAACUUUAUUUUUUUUAUUCGUUAAUUUACGUAUACUUGAUCCUUUAUUUGGAUUAUAAGAUUAAAUUACCUUAGGGAUAACAGCGUAAUUUUUUUUGAAAGCUCUUAUUGAUAAAAAAGUUUGCGACCUCGAUGUUGGAUUAAAAUUAAUAUUUGGUGCAGUAGUUUAAGUAUUAGGUCUGUUCGACCUUUAAAAUUUUACA
This 485-nucleotide ribosomal RNA is filed under the name Alleculinae sp. UPOL ZL0064. RNAcentral describes it as "partial 16S ribosomal RNA". It matches the Rfam family "Bacterial large subunit ribosomal RNA", at positions 1844 to 2600 of the family's 2925-position model. Lineage: Eukaryota; Metazoa; Arthropoda; Insecta; Coleoptera; Tenebrionidae. The record is from RNAcentral.